GAGGAAGAGGAAAGACCCAAGACCUAAGACCUUAGUCCAAGACCCGCAAAAGUUUAGAAGUUCAAAGACUACACCCGGGGUACAACGACUUUGAGGAGGUGACGGGGAGUUACGCUCCAAGACGAGUCUUGUAAGUUUACAUUUAUAGUGAGGAGGUAACGAGAAGUUACGCUCCAAGAUAUAUUUGUAAAGGCUUCUCCGCCUACUGUAAAGGAGUAUCUUUAU
RNAcentral lists this long non-coding RNA (225 nucleotides) under Daucus carota (carrot). RNAcentral describes it as "long non-coding RNA (DCAR_LNC001035)". The record is from RNAcentral. Lineage: Eukaryota; Viridiplantae; Streptophyta; Magnoliopsida; Apiales; Apiaceae.